Molecule: ribosomal RNA, 272 nt
Filed under: uncultured prokaryote
Description: partial 16S ribosomal RNA
Rfam family: Bacterial small subunit ribosomal RNA
Source: RNAcentral
UACGUAGGUGGCGAGCGUUGUCCGGAUUUACUGGGCGUAAAGGGAGCGUAGGCGGACUUUUAAGUGAGAUGUGAAAUACCCGGGCUCAACUUGGGUGCUGCAUUUCAAACUGGAAGUCUAGAGUGCAGGAGAGGAGAAUGGAAUUCCUAGUGUAGCGGUGAAAUGCGUAGAGAUUAGGAAGAACACCAGUGGCGAAGGCGACUUUCUGGACUGUAACUGACGCUGAGGCUCGAAAGCGUGGGGAGGCAAACAGGAUUAGAUACCCGUGUAGU